UAUANNUGCAGUCGACGAACUCUGGUAUUGAUUGGUGCUUGCAUCAUGAUUUACAUUUGAGUGAGUGGCGAACUGGUGAGUAACACGUGGGAAACCUGCCCAGAAGCGGGGGAUAACACCUGGAAACAGAUGCUAAUACCGCAUAACAACUUGGACCGCAUGGUCCGAGUUUGAAAGAUGGCUUCGGCUAUCACUUUUGGAUGGUCCCGCGGCGUAUUAGCUAGAUGGUGGGGUAACGGCUCACCAUGGCAAUGAUACGUAGCCGACCUGAGAGGGUAAUCGGCCACAUUGGGACUGAGACACGGCCCAAACUCCUACGGGAGGCAGCAGUAGGGAAUCUUCCACAAUGGACGAAAGUCUGAUGGAGCAACGCCGCGUGAGUGAAGAAGGGUUUCGGCUCGUAAAACUCUGUUGUUAAAGAAGAACAUAUCUGAGAGUAACUGUUCAGGUAUUGACGGUAUUUAACCAGAAAGCCACGGCUAACUACGUGCCAGCANC
Molecule: ribosomal RNA, 498 nt
Filed under: Lactiplantibacillus plantarum
Lineage: Bacteria; Bacillati; Bacillota; Bacilli; Lactobacillales; Lactobacillaceae
Description: bacterial SSU rRNA
Rfam family: Bacterial small subunit ribosomal RNA
Source: RNAcentral